RNAcentral lists this ribosomal RNA (262 nucleotides) under Bacillus anthracis (anthrax bacterium). RNAcentral describes it as "partial 16S ribosomal RNA". It matches the Rfam family "Bacterial small subunit ribosomal RNA", at positions 7 to 257 of the family's 1533-position model. Lineage: Bacteria; Bacillati; Bacillota; Bacilli; Caryophanales; Bacillaceae. The record is from RNAcentral.
GAGAGUUUGAUCCUGGCUCAGGAUGAACGCUGGCGGCGUGCCUAAUACAUGCAAGUCGAGCGAAUGGAUUAAGAGCUUGCUCUUAUGAAGUUAGCGGCGGACGGGGGAGUAACACGUGGGGAACCUGCCCAUAAGACUGGGGUAACUCCGGGAAACCGGGGCUAAUACCGGAUAACAUUUUGAACCGCAUGGUUCGAAAUUGAAAGGCGGCUUCGGCUGUCACUUAUGGAUGGACCCGCGUCGCAUUAGCUAGUUGGUGAGG